RNAcentral lists this ribosomal RNA (301 nucleotides) under uncultured bacterium. RNAcentral describes it as "partial 16S ribosomal RNA". It matches the Rfam family "Bacterial small subunit ribosomal RNA", at positions 509 to 809 of the family's 1533-position model. The record is from RNAcentral.
CAGCCGCCACGGUAAUACGAGGGGGGCAAGCGUUGUUCGGAAUUAUUGGGCGUAAAGGGCGCGUAGGCGGUUUGGCAAGUUUGGUGUGAAAUCUUCGGGCUCAACUCGAAGUCUGCACCGAAAACUGCCGGGCUUGAGUAUGGGAGAGGUGAGUGGAAUUUCCGGUGUAGCGGUGAAAUGCGUAGAUAUCGGAAGGAACACCUGUGGCGAAAGCGGCUCACUGGACCAUUACUGACGCUGAGGCGCGAAAGCUAGGGGAGCAAACAGGAUUAGAUACCCGAGUAGUCCCUGUCUCUUAUAA